Molecule: long non-coding RNA, 532 nt
Organism: Nycticebus coucang (slow loris)
Lineage: Eukaryota; Metazoa; Chordata; Mammalia; Primates; Lorisidae
Exons: 3
Source: RefSeq, a predicted model, not a curated record
ACGGCAAAGAAGCCGCUGGGUUGGAGCACUAAAAUCUACCACGGGUAGGAACAGAAGGACGACGGGGUCGGAAAGGCUUGCUUUACGGCACGGCCAAGUGACUGAGUGGCUCCAGGAGGAUGUGAAGACGAGGGCAGGGAGCUUUUGCGACAGAAGGAAAAACGCCUGCCCCAGGCAUCUUUACGACGGAGGGGGCUGGAACUCAAACACUUUCAGCUUUGCGACAGUGGCACCGACGACCCCGCCCUCGGGGGAGGUGACACCUUGAAGUACUCGUUUUACGGCAAGAGGGAGGUGGUCGUCGUCUUGCGACUUAAGCUUCGAAGCGGUAUGAGUGGGGUCUGGAGGACCCAGAGAAGAGAACCGGCAGUUUUAUAAGUGAAAGUCUCUAUCCUCCACACCACUGAGACCGGAAAAAGUCUCAGCACUGGGAUGAAAUGAAUAUCCUGUCCACAUACCACCCUGCUGACAAGGACUAUGGAUUUAUGAAGGUGGAUGAGCCCAGCACUCCCUAUCACAGGAUGGAGGACAG